CGGGAGGUCGCGGCGGGAGGCCGGCGGCGCGCGGAGGGCAGCGGAGCCCUCCCCUCGCGCCUUCCAUUUUCCUGCGGCCUGAGCCCGCGCGCUCGGAGGCCUUGGGGAGCGGUCGGCGACGGGGAGCCUGUGCCCGACGGCGGCUCCGGGAAGGAUUCACCUGGAAGAGGCAGGACAGGAGGCGCCCCGCGUUCGCGUUGGAUUUGAGGCCCCCCCCCCGCCCCGCCCCCGCCCUCGCCCUCGUUUUGUUCGAAGCCCGCAGCCUCUCGCUCAGGCUCUGGGGCUUUUUGUGGAGGUUUCUGGCCAAAGGUGAUCAAGGGCAGCAGCUGGAUUUUAAAACUGGGUUUCGAGGGCUGAAUGCGCAGUGUGUCUUCAAACCGCGCCGUGAACUCGACACGAGGUUAAGGAGAAACGGCACAGGGGGACGGAGCCCGCGUGUUCAGCGUCUAGGCCUGCAGCGCCGCGCUCACCGGUGAGCGAACGCCCGGCCCGGGAGCGAGGACCGCGGGGCUCCGCCAGCGCCCGACCCGUGUGAAGACAAUCUGCCUUUUAAGAUUGUAACCGGGGCAGCCCGGGCGGCUCAGCGGUUGAGCAUCUGCCUUCGGCCCAGGACGUGACCCUGGAGGCCCGGGAUCGAGUCCCGCGUCGGGCUCCCGGUGCAUGGAGCCUGCUUCUCCCUCUGCCCGCCCCCUCUCUGCCUCUCAUGAAUAAAUAAAAUCUUAGAAUAUAAAAUUUUAACUUUGCCAAAGAAUACGGGCAGACACAUUUCUAAAAGGCAAUUGAUAAUGCUCUUAUCUAUUCAUUCGCAGAGACCCAGAGAGAGGCAGAUGGAGAAGCAGGCUCCUCGCAGGGAGCCCGACGUGGGACUCGAUCCCGGGUCUCCAGGAUCACGCCCUGAGCCCAGGGCGGCGCUAAACCGCUGGGCCACCCUGGCUGCCCAAUUGAUAAUGCUUUUAAAAUUCAGCCAGAAGUACAUGAACCACAGAUGUUUACUACCCCUCCCAGGACCAACUCAUUUUCAGCAGCUCAGAUGCAACAACUGACUAUAAAUGAAGUAAGUAGAACAAAGCUACCCUGGUAUCACCUUGCUCAAUCUCCAUAACUAGCUUUACACAUUUUGCUCAGGAUUUUAAAUUAAAAGAGCUUCUGGUAAAAAAAAAAAAAAAAAAAAAAAUUAUUCUGGAGAAAAGUUCUUGUUCAGUCUGAAAUGCCUGUUUGUGUAGUUUUGCUUCUUUGUCUAUUUCCCAUCCUCUAACUAGGCUUGUUCAUCCUUAGAGACUCAGCCUAAGUUCUGUGAAGAUCUGCCCACGAUUCAGUCCAGUUGAGUUUUUUCCUACUGAAAUUUCUAUAACUGCUAUUGUUUGCUUAGUAAUUAUUCCUGAACAUGUGUCUUGCCUCUUUAAUUGGAUUAUAAGCUCUCUAGACGUUACAGAAUAUGUGUAUCAUUUAUUUUUUUGGAUUGUAAAGCAUUCCUGGCCCAGUUGUGUACAAAUGGAGGGUGUUAAAAGUGAAUGAAAACAGGUUAUUUGGGCCCUAUUCACUUAUCCUUUCUCAAAGUGGAGAACUUAACAGCCCUUCAGGAUGAGCUUUGGUCUUUCUACAUAUACGUCAUUAAGGACAUUUUGCUUUUUAUUUCUGUCAUUAAUUUAAAAAGUGAUGGGAAAGUCACUUUUGAUUUGCACAUGAAAUACUAUGUUUUUCAGAAUGAAGACAUAUUCUGUGAGUCAUUUUUGUUAUGAGUAACUUAGAACAUUUGUGGAUAGUCUAUUUCUGGGUAAAAUAGUUCAAAAUAAGAUUUUGGUAAUGCAUGAGUGAUACAUAUUUAAAAC
RNAcentral lists this long non-coding RNA (1829 nucleotides) under Canis lupus dingo (dingo). RNAcentral's name for it is "lncRNA (ENSCAFG00020015730.1)". Lineage: Eukaryota; Metazoa; Chordata; Mammalia; Carnivora; Canidae. The record is from RNAcentral.